AAAAUCCAAGAAUUUCACCUCUAACCCCGCAAUACGAAUGCCCCCGGCCGUCCCUCUUAAUCAUUACCUCGAGUUCCGGAGGCCAACAAAAUAGAACCGAGGUCCUAUUCCAUUAUUCCAUGCACCAUUAUUCAGGCGUGUGAGCCUGCUUUGAACACUCUAAUUUUUUCAAAGUAAAUUGGGCAGGCGCAACAAGCGACCCAGUCAAGGGCACCCGCUGCCUCCCGCCAGUUAGGAGCCGACAGCAGUAAGCAGGCAUGGACCUGAACCGCCGCCGGCAGCCUGAGAUCCAACUACGAGCUUUUUAACUGCAACAACUUUAAUAUACGCUACUGGAGCUGGAAUUACCGCCC
Molecule: unclassified non-coding RNA, 353 nt
Filed under: uncultured fungus
Lineage: Eukaryota; Fungi
Description: sequence contains ITS1
Source: RNAcentral